Molecule: transfer RNA, 73 nt
Organism: Plasmodiophora brassicae
Lineage: Eukaryota; Endomyxa; Phytomyxea; Plasmodiophorida; Plasmodiophoridae
Rfam family: tRNA
About the family: Transfer RNA (tRNA) molecules are approximately 80 nucleotides in length. Their secondary structure includes four short double-helical elements and three loops (D, anti-codon, and T loops). Further hydrogen bonds mediate the characteristic L-shaped molecular structure. tRNAs have two regions of fundamental functional importance: the anti-codon, which is responsible for specific mRNA codon recognition, and the 3' end, to which the tRNAs corresponding amino acid is attached (by aminoacyl-tRNA synthetases). tRNAs cope with the degeneracy of the genetic code in two manners: having more than one tRNA (with a specific anti-codon) for a particular amino acid; and 'wobble' base-pairing, i.e. permitting non-standard base-pairing at the 3rd anti-codon position.
Source: Rfam
GGCCGUGUAGUGUAGGUGGUUAUCACGACAGACUCUGAAUCUGUAGACCAGGGUUCGACUCCCUGCGUGGCCU